UUAAAAGCGUUGAAGGGAAAUAGUAGAUAUUUAAGGUAUACAGAGAGGAAGUCCUAGGCUGAGAGAUUUCUAACCCAAUGAAUAUUGAACCCAUCCCAGAGCUUCUAGACGGGAAAAUAAAAGUCUAGACGGUUUUUUACCGUUAUUUAUUUCGAGUGGAUUAUAUAUUUUAUAAUCUAUUAGGGUGGUACCGCGGAUAUAACCUUCGUCCCUUUU
Molecule: non-coding RNA, 216 nt
Filed under: Proteiniborus sp.
Lineage: Bacteria; Bacillati; Bacillota; Clostridia; Eubacteriales
Description: T-box sequence
Rfam family: T-box leader
About the family: Uncharged tRNA acts as the effector for transcription antitermination of genes in the T-box leader family.
Source: RNAcentral